Molecule: ribosomal RNA, 198 nt
Filed under: uncultured fungus
Lineage: Eukaryota; Fungi
Description: partial 18S ribosomal RNA
Rfam family: Eukaryotic small subunit ribosomal RNA
Source: RNAcentral
GCAAGUCUGGUGCCAGCAGCCCCCGGUAAUUACAGCUCCAAUAGCGUAUAUUAAAGUUGAUGCAGUUAAAAAGCUCGCAGCUGAACCUUAUGUUUGGCUGACCGGUCCGCCUCACCGAGUGCACUGGCUAGGCCGGAUCUUUCCUUUUGGCAAACCCCAUGUUUUUCAUUAGGUGUGUUGGGGAACCAGGACUUUUAC